GUAGGUGGCAAGCGUUGUCCGGAAUUAUUGGGCGUAAAGCGCGCGCAGGCGGUUCUUUAAGUCUGAUGUGAAAGCCCACGGCUCAACCGUGGAGGGUCAUUGGAAACUGGAGAACUUGAGUACAGAAGAGGAAAGCGGAAUUCCACGUGUAGCGGUGAAAUGCGCAGAGAUGUGGAGGAACACCAGUGGCGAAGGCGGCUUUCCGGUCUGUAACUGACGCUGAGGCGCGAAAGCGUGGGGAGCAAACAGGGUUAGAUACCCUGGUAGUCCACGCCGUAAACGAUGAGUGCUAAGUGUUAGGGGGUUUCCGCCCCCUUAGUGCUGCAGCUAACGCAUUAAGCACUCCGCCUGGGGAGUACGGCCGCAAGGCUG
Molecule: ribosomal RNA, 372 nt
Filed under: uncultured organism
Description: partial 16S ribosomal RNA
Rfam family: Bacterial small subunit ribosomal RNA
Source: RNAcentral